UACGGAGGGAGCUAGCGUUGUUCGGAAUUACUGGGCGUAAAGCGUGCGUAGGCGGCUUUGUAAGUUAGAGGUGAAAGCCCGGAGCUCAACUCCGGAAUUGCCUUUAAGACUGCAUCGCUUGAAUCCGGGAGAGGUGAGUGGAAUUCCGAGUGUAGAGGUGAAAUUCGUAGAUAUUCGGAAGAACACCAGUGGCGAAGGCGGCUCACUGGACCGGCAUUGACGCUGAGGUACGAAGGCGUGGGGAGCAAACAGG
RNAcentral lists this ribosomal RNA (253 nucleotides) under uncultured bacterium. RNAcentral's name for it is "partial 16S ribosomal RNA". It matches the Rfam family "Bacterial small subunit ribosomal RNA", at positions 524 to 776 of the family's 1533-position model. The record is from RNAcentral.